This is a long non-coding RNA of Gasterosteus aculeatus aculeatus (three-spined stickleback), 1140 nucleotides long. Lineage: Eukaryota; Metazoa; Chordata; Actinopteri; Perciformes; Gasterosteidae. The record is from Ensembl.
CCGCGGUACGACCUGCCGGGGCGAACACACUGUGCUGUUGGGAUUGUUAUAAAUGUACAAUGAGCGUUUUCAUGUUUGACCUCGUUUCUUUUGUAACAUUAUUUUAGUGCACUCGAGUCCGGUGGAACACUUACAGCCAUGAACAAUCUUAUUUAAGCUACACGGGGCCUUGACAUCACAAAGCCAAGUCAGACAACUGAAAAUAUGUUCUUAUUGCAAAUGUUAUGAUGGACUAUUAUCCUGGUCUUUUUCACCGCAUACUCCCGGGUGCAUGUUUAUUAUCCUCUUAAAGUUUGGUCUUAAUUUGUAUUUCAUCUUGUUUUUAUUUAUAACAUUAUAUCAUGUUUUGUGAAUGGGAUACUAUGACAUUGGGCUGUUACGUUGCUUUCGUCUUCGAGCAUGUGUUACAGAGUAAAAGUCAAAACUAAACAUCGGGCACCUGAAAAGAGUAACGGCGGUUCCGAAAUGGGCCGCCAUUUAUUUUAACGGGGAAUGCGAACAUUCCUCUAGAAAGUAGUUGGUCCGAUAAAGGAGAGGAAAAGAGUCUCAUGACGUUUCUUGGUUCUUGAUGAACAAUAAAAAAACUAAGUAGUUUGUAGAAUCCACUCUACCGUAUAUUUAACAUGCAAUGGUUUUCACUUGAUGUUUGCUGUGACAGUAGACAUAGAAAGAGACUGAUCAUAAAUCCAUGCAGUGCCUUCUUAAAGAAGUAGUUCAACAUUUUUGGGAAAUGUGUAGCUUUAGCUUUUCUGCAUUAAACAAGAUGAUUGAUACCUCGUUGUGUCGUAUUUUGGGGGAACGCGCUGAGAGCUUUAGGGGGUAAGCAGAUUCAGUUACCUUUGCACAUACGCUAGCUUUAUGCUAAGCUAAGCUAGCCGGCUGCUGAUGGAUGAUUUCUUUUUUACGAACAGAAAAAAAUUGUAAAUCUGUUCAUUUAAGACCUCUUAUCUUUGCUCAUUCUCCCCAAUGUGCACUUAUGUUUGUUUGCUUGUAUGAAUAUAUUGUUCUGGUUUUGCCAGCUUGUGUAUUUAUUUAUUCGUCCCAUUUUAAAAGUGUGUACACGGCGUGAAGAAAAAGGACACUGCUUCCGACUGAGACUUCCGUGAGCUUCUGUGGUCACAGGCGUCCAGUUCCGUCCUC